UCCCAUAUAGUCUAGUGGUCAGGAUUUGGCGCUCUCACCGCCAUGACCCGGGUUAAUUUCCCGGUGUGGGAA
Molecule: transfer RNA, 72 nt
Filed under: Saccoglossus kowalevskii
Lineage: Eukaryota; Metazoa; Hemichordata; Enteropneusta; Harrimaniidae
Description: tRNA-Glu
Rfam family: tRNA
About the family: Transfer RNA (tRNA) molecules are approximately 80 nucleotides in length.
Source: RNAcentral